GACGAACGCUGGCGGCGUGCUUAACACAUGCAAGUCGAGCGGUAAGGCCCUUUCGGGGUACACGAGCGGCGAACGGGUGAGUAACACGUGGGUGACCUGCCCUCAGCUCUGGGAUAAGCCUGGGAAACUGGGUCUAAUACCGGAUAUGACUCCACGGCGCAUGUUGUGGGGUGGAAAGCCUUGUGUGGCUAGAGAUGGGCCCGCGGCCUAUCAGCUUGUUGGUGGGGUGAUGGCCUACCAAGGCGACGACGGGUAGCCGGCCUGAGAGGGCGACCGGCCACACUGGGACUGAGACACGGCCCAGACUCCUACGGGAGGCAGCAGUGGGGAAUCUUGCGCAAUGGGCGAAAGCCUGACGCAGCGACGCCGCGUGAGGGAUGACGGCCU
RNAcentral lists this ribosomal RNA (387 nucleotides) under uncultured bacterium. Its description in RNAcentral is "bacterial SSU rRNA". It matches the Rfam family "Bacterial small subunit ribosomal RNA", at positions 28 to 417 of the family's 1533-position model. The record is from RNAcentral.